This 583-nucleotide ribosomal RNA is filed under the name Pantoea sp. HRTP166. RNAcentral's name for it is "bacterial SSU rRNA". It matches the Rfam family "Bacterial small subunit ribosomal RNA", at positions 102 to 681 of the family's 1533-position model. Lineage: Bacteria; Pseudomonadati; Pseudomonadota; Gammaproteobacteria; Enterobacterales; Erwiniaceae. The record is from RNAcentral.
ACGGGUGAGUAGUGUCGGGGGAUCUGCCCGAUAGAGGGGGAUAACCACUGGAAACGGUGGCUAAUACCGCAUAACGUCGCAAGACCAAAGAGGGGGACCUUCGGGCCUCUCACUAUCGGAUGAACCCAGAUGGGAUUAGCUAGUACGCGGGGUAAUGGCCCACCUAGGCCACGAUCCCUAGCUGGUCUGAGAGGAUGACCAGCCACACUGGAACUGAGACACGGUCCAGACUCCUACGGGAGGCAGCAGUGGGGAAUAUUGCACAAUGGGCGCAAGCCUGAUGCACCCAUGCCGCGUGUAUGAAGAAGGCCUUCGGGUUGUAAAGUACUUUCAGCGGGGAGGAAGGCGAUGGGGUUAAUAACCGUGUCGAUUGACGUUACCCGCAAAAGAAGCACCGGCUAACUCCGUGCCAGCAGCCGCGGUAAUACAGAGGGUGCAAGCGUUAAUCGGAAUUACUGGGCGUAAAGCGCACGCACGCGGUCUGUUAAGUCAGAUGUGAAAUCCCCGGGCUUAACCUGGGAACUGCAUUUGAAACUGGCAGGCUUGAGUCUUGUAGAGGGGGGUAGAAUUCCGUGUGUAGCGG